AGUGGCUUGACACACAUGGCUGCUGUUGGUGUUCGCGUCCCUGUGUGGUUCUCGGGGAGCAAACGGGAACCCGUUGUUGACAACAGGUUUUGUAGGUUUGUCCGGUGGUUAUGGCGAAGGGGAAACACCCGGUCCCAUUCCGAACCCGGUAGUUAAGCCCUUCAGCGCCGAUGGUACUGCAUGGGUGACUGUGUGGGAGAGUAGGACGCCGCCGGAC
This 217-nucleotide ribosomal RNA is filed under the name Actinomadura viridilutea. Lineage: Bacteria; Bacillati; Actinomycetota; Actinomycetes; Streptosporangiales; Thermomonosporaceae. The record is from RNAcentral.